GCCCGGGUGGCGGAAUAGGCAUACGCGCGACACUUAAAAUGUCGCGGCCGCAAGGCCUUGCGGGUUCGAGUCCCGCCCUGGGCA
RNAcentral lists this transfer RNA (84 nucleotides) under Candidatus Aminicenantes bacterium RBG_19FT_COMBO_59_29. Its description in RNAcentral is "tRNA-Leu". It matches the Rfam family "tRNA". Rfam says of the family: Transfer RNA (tRNA) molecules are approximately 80 nucleotides in length. Their secondary structure includes four short double-helical elements and three loops (D, anti-codon, and T loops). The record is from RNAcentral. Lineage: Bacteria; Candidatus Aminicenantota.